CUGUGGGCAGGCAUCCCUCCAAGCUAUUUCCUUCUCACUUUGGCAAGUCUUCCAACAGAAGAAAUGAGGCAAAUGACAUGUGGGGACAUGAACCUCUGUUACUUUCUCCACCACAGCUACCUCAGUUAAUGGAAAUUUUGCUGUUUUCUGAUGGCUCCCAAUGAAUGUCACCGUCUCAUUCUGUAUUGCUCUCCACAAUUAUUCAUUGAAGUGCAGUGAGAAUCUGUCUGCAGUUCAGGCUUAGCAUGCCAAGUGGACUUAAGUUUUGGGUCCACAUGUCUGCUCUAAGGCAAACAGAAUAGGAAUAGGACUCAAAUUUUCUGUAUCUCCGUUGUAUAUCCUAUAAAUAGGUUAUUCUGAAGAUGUGUCCUCUCUUUUUCACAAAGAAGCUGCUAAGCAUGUGAGCUUUCUCAUAAUGCAAGAUGGGAAGAAAUCUGAAAUGGAAAAGUUUCUGAGGACAGAACGAGAAACUCAAGGAAAGGGCUGGAAGAAGCAUCACAUAGAGGACUUAUCACAUAAUACAUUGAGAGAAUGUAACAAUGGAGUUGCUGUUGAGCAGAAGGAAGACAAUGAAAAUAUUUUCAAACUGCAUCAAAGCAGGGUAGUCUUCACAGAAGUCUGCACUGGCAAAUGCAGUCUACACAACUGAGGUAUGAGCACAAUUGAGUCUGUCUUUUGGAUUUUACAAAAAUCCUUUAUUACUUUUCUAUUGGUACAUUAUGGUGGGACAGAAAGAAAAA
This 740-nucleotide long non-coding RNA is filed under the name Ficedula albicollis (Collared flycatcher). RNAcentral's name for it is "lncRNA (ENSFALG00000028397.1)". Lineage: Eukaryota; Metazoa; Chordata; Aves; Passeriformes; Muscicapidae. The record is from RNAcentral.